CAUUGGAGCCACUUUCAGUUCUGCUGUGAGACAGCUCCGAGGGCCAGGCUGACCUGCAGCUACUCCCACCACAGUGGCCUCUGGCCAGGCUUGAGGACAGCAGAUGGAGUCUGUCAGACUGUUUAAUAGGGGUCUGGAGACCCCAAGAACCACCAAGAGCCAAGGUUGACAACCACCAAAUAUCUGUAUAGGAAGAAGAACCAGCUCCACUUGCUCCUGUGACAAUAAUACCUCCGAAGUACUGUGGCCCAAGGGCUGAUGUCCAUUUCCUUUUGGCAAUGGACUGCUUCUCCCAUGGGGAUCUGCAGCAGGAGCUCCUAGGAGGCUCCUGCCCCUGCUUCACACAAUGGGCAGCUGAGAUGACCAAUGGAUGGACAACCUUCUCUCAGCCUGGAGUGCUUCCCCACUGGAGACUUCAACAUCAGCCCUGGGGCUCUGAGAAACCACUUCAUUUACUUUGAUCAUUUUCCUGUCAAAGGUAAAUUUUUAAAUUGGCCACUACACUUCUACAGAUAUGAAGCUUUUCUGUGAUGUCUGCCAAUCUCAACGAAUGCAUCAAACUAGGUACUGUAGUUGUACUAAAUAAUAUUGUAAUUGUUUUGUUCAGGGUUUAUUAACGUCCACCCAAUCAUUUUCUCAGUCAUAUGGAAGAAAUGCCACCCUGCAGGUUGAGCAACAGAUCCAGACUGCUUCAGGGGAUGAGUGGCUUUAGUUUUGUCCCUUGACCCCAAAAUGACACCAUGGCCUGACCUAUAAAAUGAGGACUAUUAAAUGUAUUCACUUUUGUAAACACUAGUGCAACACAUGGUUGAAUAGCGCUAUGUAAAUUUAAAAUCUUAAUUAAACUGAGGCAGAGUGCCAAGUAAUCACAAUGCACACACACUACUUGAAACCAACUCAUUAAUAGUUCUGCUGCUGGAAUCAGUUUCUUAAUGGCUCAGUAAUGAGUUGACUACAAUUUACAAAACCACGUUUCUUGAAUUUUUUUUUAAAUUGUAUAACUAUAAUUUGAUAAUGUCUUGAACUUGUGUGUGCACAGGUAACAAAAAAGAUACCUUGGAACACUUAAGGGCCCUAGACUUAAAAUCUGUUAUUUUUUAUUCACAAUUUGUAUUAGUUUAACUCUGUAACAAAAAAUGAUACUCUGGCUUUUUUGUUGGUAGCUGGAAGUGUUGUGGUACUUCACUAGAAUGUUUGAUGUCUUAGUUCCUGACCGCUCAGCCAAAAAUACUGUGCAACCAACUCACUUCUCUGAGUUUCUUGCCUUGCAUGCUACAGUCACCCAGAACUAGCAGACAGUUUCCUUUCCUGUGAGACGAGAUGCAUCAUGCUUAACCAAGCACAUCUCUUCAUGUGCAAUGAAGACACUAUAUAUGUUUGAGUGGAGUAUGCUGCUCUUUCAUCCCUACCUGGUUUUGUCUGUAGUAAAUCAGCCAGCAGCCUCACUACCAAAAAAAUGUUAGAUAUUAACCUCCCUCCAUCUCUCCUUCCUUCCAGCACUAUUAACCUAGGUUACCUACUCAGGGAGCACGUUUUUAAGCUUCAUGGUAGAUUUAUAUUUGGAAUUUGCAAAAGCAGAGUCUUUCCCUAAUCCCUCUCCAUUACACCACAGGCAGGGAUCUGCAAUGGGGAGCUGUUUACAUCCAUGGCAUACAAGUUAGGAGAUGCAUCCCAUAAGGUCCAUCUCUGGCCUUGCCUGC
Parus major (Great Tit) is the source of this 1700-nucleotide long non-coding RNA. RefSeq lists it as uncharacterized. NCBI's taxonomy places the organism in Eukaryota, Metazoa, Chordata, Aves, Passeriformes, Paridae. The record is from RefSeq and is a predicted model, not a curated record. The transcript has 4 exons.